This 264-nucleotide ribosomal RNA is filed under the name uncultured bacterium. RNAcentral describes it as "partial 16S ribosomal RNA". It matches the Rfam family "Bacterial small subunit ribosomal RNA", at positions 793 to 1055 of the family's 1533-position model. The record is from RNAcentral.
GUCCACGCCCUAAACGAUGUCAACUAGUUGUUGGUAGAGUAAAUCUAUGAGUAACGCAGCUAACGCGUGAAGUUGACCGCCUGGGGAGUGCGAUCGCAAGAUUAAAACUCAAAUGAAUUGACGGGGCCGCACAAGCGGUGGAUUAUGUGGAUUAAUUCGAUGCAACGACGAAAACCUUAACCUGGCCUUGACAUGUACCGAAUUUAGCAGAGAUGCUUUAGUGCUCGAAAGAGAGCGGUAACACAGGUGCUGCAUGGCUGUCGU